GCGCCCCCGCCCCGCCCGCGGCCCCGGACACGGGGCGGGACCGAGCGGCGGAGGCGCCGGGGCCGGGCCUCACGGAGCCGCUCGGGUCUCACGGAGCCGCCCGGGCCCCUCGGCCGAGACGGGAACUGCAGCCCAGCCGUGCCUGACGCUUCAGGCCCAAAGGAUUUUCUUCAUGCCAAAACUUGCCCUGUGCCUCUUUACUAAAGCUGCAAGACUUUCCCUGGAGGAGAGAGGCCUUGGAGCUUUUAUUAUGCCUUGCAAGCCCAGAUUACAUCGAUCACAUUGACUGGUCACAACUUGACUCAUGCAAAGACCAUCUGAACAUCAGAGGCUCUUUGGGACCCAUGAGAGAGCCCCCUACACCAACUAAAGAUGGUGGCACAGGAUACUGAUUUUGCUGCUUCAGUAAUAAACUAUGUCUAAGCAUUA
Molecule: long non-coding RNA, 429 nt
Organism: Poecile atricapillus (Black-capped chickadee)
Lineage: Eukaryota; Metazoa; Chordata; Aves; Passeriformes; Paridae
Exons: 2
Source: RefSeq, a predicted model, not a curated record